Molecule: ribosomal RNA, 465 nt
Filed under: uncultured Klebsiella sp.
Lineage: Bacteria; Pseudomonadati; Pseudomonadota; Gammaproteobacteria; Enterobacterales; Enterobacteriaceae
Description: bacterial SSU rRNA
Rfam family: Bacterial small subunit ribosomal RNA
Source: RNAcentral
CCUACGGGGGGCUGCAGUGGGGAAUAUUGCACAAUGGGCGCAAGCCUGAUGCAGCCAUGCCGCGUGUGUGAAGAAGGCCUUCGGGUUGUAAAGCACUUUCAGCGGGGAGGAAGGCGUUAAGGUUAAUAACCUUGGCGAUUGACGUUACCCGCAGAAGAAGCACCGGCUAACUCCGUGCCAGCAGCCGCGGUAAUACGGAGGGUGCAAGCGUUAAUCGGAAUUACUGGGCGUAAAGCGCACGCAGGCGGUCUGUCAAGUCGGAUGUGAAAUCCCCGGGCUCAACCUGGGAACUGCAUUCGAAACUGGCAGGCUAGAGUCUUGUAGAGGGGGGUAGAAUUCCAGGUGUAGCGGUGAAAUGCGUAGAGAUCUGGAGAAAUACCGGUGGCGAAGGCGGCCCCCUGGACAAAGACUGACGCUCAGGUGCGAAAGCGUGGGGAGCAAACAGGAUUAGAUACCCUUGUAGUC